GUGUGCUCAAUCAAAAAACAAGAUGCACACACACAUCGAUUGUGUGUGCUUGUACAUGAAUCUAUUCAGAGAAACAAGACGAGAAAGGGAAACAGUUGGAAGAAAGGGGAAGGAAGCGAUGGUGUGUUGUUUCUGUUCUUUUCGAAUGGAACAUCGAAGAUGGUGACCAUGUCGACCAGACCAGUGGCCGACAUAAUCAAUGGAGGUGGGUGAUGGGGCUACAAUGGUCGAUUAAGCAUAAAACAACCCUAAUGAUUUCUAUUUCAGCAACUUCUUCAUAUUAAGUCAAAGUUAUGAACGAAAAGUCGUAUGAUUUAGGUAUCCUUCUUCAACAUCAACUCUCAUUGAAGUAAGAGAACAAGUGAAAGCUACGAAAAACGGAUUGGAAGGUAACAUAAUUAAGAAGAAGGUUUUUUCUUGGAAAAAAGGCAUCACUUUCACAACUUUUUGUAGGGAAUAAAAAAGGGAGUUUGAAGUUAGAUGCAAAUGUUUUAACAAAACACAUGUGGAAAUAGUGUACGACCAAGAUAUUCUGUUAAUGGACGGGGGAACACUGUUCUCCUUUUAGUUUAUGGUAUUUAAAAUUUAAUGGAUUAAGUAUAUACAAUAUUAGAUAUAAAUAUAAUUAUCGUUGCUUACAA
This is a non-coding RNA of Lactuca sativa (garden lettuce), 641 nucleotides long. Lineage: Eukaryota; Viridiplantae; Streptophyta; Magnoliopsida; Asterales; Asteraceae. The record is from RefSeq and is a predicted model, not a curated record.